Molecule: non-coding RNA, 2862 nt
Organism: Python bivittatus (Burmese python)
Lineage: Eukaryota; Metazoa; Chordata; Lepidosauria; Squamata; Pythonidae
Source: RefSeq, a predicted model, not a curated record
UUCCUGGGACUGGAGCACCGACAAUACAAACAUGUUAAUGAAAGAGCUCAGUCCAAAAGACAAAAACUUAUUCUGCUUUGAUGUCCGUCAGCUGACUUGGUCAGAAUACACAAAAAAUUACUGCUUAGGAACUAAGAAGUUUCUGCUGAAUGAAGACAUGGCUGGAAUUCCUGCAGCCAAACAGCAUAUCAGAAAGCUAAGGACCAUUCACUAUGCACUGAACACCACUCUGCUUGUGAUCAUCUGGCGCAUAUUCGUUGCAAGGUCACAAAUGGCUCGUAAUGUAUGGUAUUUUGUAGUAAACCUCUGCUACAAGUUUCUUAACUACUUUAGAGCUUCCAGCAGCCUUAUGUAUUGACUGUGCCCUCCUGGGGAUCGUUCACGAUGUUCUGGGAUAACCUCCAUGUCCUAAACCUACUACUGGUGCCUGAGAUUCAGCAGGAACAAGAUAUCUCCUAACUGGUGCAGCAUUCAGCAGAUGUGACAAGAGGCUUCCUCCGAUUCCUACUACUGUUACUACUAUUAAACUACUGCUGCAGUGGGCCUUGACUCCCUGUCUCUGUAUCCAUCACCUCAUCCCUAUGAAGCUGCUAUUUUUCGCUGCGACACCUUCCAGUGCCAGUGCCCAGCUGCAGCAUGAAAAUUGGCACUGGAUAUCUUCUACCCAGGAAUACCGAGAAACCUAAUUUUCAGACACUUCACACCGUAUAUGAACAGAUUUGCAUUCCGUAUAUCCCUAGUGCAUUGAACCAACAGGACUAAAGAUUGUGUUUUUACAAAUAAGGUUCAGGGACCUGUUUCACUCAGACUGAAGAUGAACCCAGCAUGAAACGCACUGAGCAGCAAUGGCUGCUUUUGCGGGUGGGAGCUCCCCUCUCCUCCAUUUUUCCAUGAUGUGAUAUUUUCAAAGCCUAGAGAUUAAAUGCAGAUUUAAAUAUGGUCCAUCACACAGACUAAAACCGGCUUUAGGGUUGCUCCCUCUUUGCAGGGAACUCUUCAGGGACCUCUUAAGCAUUCUCGGUCUACAGCAGUGCCAGGAACUCUUGGGCAGAAGCUGUGCCAGCUUAAGGGGAAUAUUAUGUUGUGGCCUUUUCUGCACCCACAAAUAGGACGGUAACCACAGUGGUUGCUCUUUAAAACUAUUUAAUAGUUUUAAAGAGCAACUAUUUAAUAAAUAGUUUUAAAGAGCAGGUAUUUAAUAAAUAGUUAAAAACUAUUUAUUUUUCUCCCACUCAAGCUGCAGGGGAAAGUUUCUGGGAAAAUGGUAAUGUUUACUUACUUAUUUAACAGAUUUAUACAGCCACCCAUCUAGCCAGGGAACGCUGACUGGCAAACAGAAAUAAAAACACCAACCCAACUGUCCAAGUCCUUUAAAAAGGCACUGGGAGAAGGCCCCUAAAAUCACAUCAUCAACACAAUAAACAAAACCACAUCCAGACCCAAUCUCUGUCAACAGCUCGGCCCCAGUGCCAGAGGGAAGACCAGGUUUCACCGCCUUCCAGAGGGCCAACAGGGGUGGGGCAGUCCAUAUCUCUUUAGCUUGCAGACACCCUGCUGUUGGAAGGGCUGUCAAGAAUGUGAUGACCGAUCCUCAUCUUGGCAGCAUCUCCUUGGUGCCUGAGUGCAUCCAGAUCCUAUUUCGUAGCCUCCGGUGGCUUGGAAGUCUGUGCUGAACCUCUUCUCCCUUCUUAUACUCCUGUGAAUCAGGGAGGUGUCUCUGUGCCUCUUCCAAAUUUUAUUUGUCUGUUGUGGACAUUGCUCCUCUGAUUGCUUCGGUAAUGGAGCCCGCAUAUCUUCAAGGUCAUCUUCCUUACUCUCAACAAAGUACUUAAAAGAAUUAGUGCAUAGUCACAUCCUGUUCACUUUGUAAAGUGGGCUGAUUAUUGGAUGCAUCUAAACUUCAGGAUUACCUACAACCUGAUUGAGAUCAUGACUCAUUCUUAUCUCUACCGUGUGUGUUUUCUGCCAAAGCUGAAGUCAUCACUUGUAAAAGCACAGUUGUAAACCUAUUGGUGCCUUAUAGUCAAUAUUCCCAUAGUAACGGAUAUUGCAUUUGGAAGAAGGGAACCAUAAAUAUCUGUGUAUGGAAGAAGUGGUGGCAACCAUAAGCUCAGAUUGCAUAUGGUGCCAGAGAAGGAGUUCCCCUGAUCACAGCCAGCCAGCCAGCCUUAAACAUUUUGAAGUCCUCUUAUUAAAAGAAGGAUUUGUUUGAUGAUUUGAUCAUCUUCCUACAUAAAAGCAUAUAAAAGGACAUGUGAAUUGCCCACUUAUAGCUGUUUAGGUAUGACACUGUUUUUAAUUUAUGAAGGUAAAAUGUUAAAUGGACAGGCUGCCUGGUGACCCUGUUAUAAAAUCCUCUGGCUAGAAGUUUCUUUUCUUUUGUUAUAUGCGUGGUGUCUUUUAAAAACAGAAUAUGCAUCUUCUAAUCGCCUGGAAUUUCAACCUCAGUGUAUUCAGCGGGUGCCGUUUCCAGUGGCCACGAGCAGCUGGGCUGAGGUGCUGCUUUGGAGAGUGGAGCUGGAGGCUGAGUCGAGCCAUGCCAGCUGCUUGGGCGGUUGAAGAAUUGAAUUAAUUAUAUUCAGUUAAGAAUCUGAGUGGCGAAAGACUGUUUCCUUCCUUUCAUUUCUUCUUCAAUUAAGAGAAGCUUUGAGGUUUGUCUUUAUUUCAUCUGUGCAGAAAAAUACAUUUCAUGUCUUAUGUAUGUGCUUCGUUGGUUAUAGAGAGGCUUCUGGUUGUUUUGAUCAUGUCAAGCUGUGGAAAGUGCUCAGAAAAAUGGGAAUCCCAGAACAUCUCAUUACCCUGAUGCAAAACGUACGCACAGGUCAGGAAGCCAGAGUGUGGAUACAACAUGGCAAAACAGAU